ACCAGUCACUGCCUCACGGUAUCACAAACCCUCACUGUCACACACAAAUCACUGAAACCAGCACUCAAGCCGUCAAGCACAAGCAGCCAACCCACACCCAUUCACGCCUCACGGCCUCCGUCGCUCACCACACGCAGCAAACACACACGCACAGUUCACAGAGCUACCUUCAACCGGCCACCACACGCAGCAACCGCUGCCGAGAACGACCCCAACCG
Molecule: long non-coding RNA, 218 nt
Filed under: Citrus sinensis (sweet orange)
Lineage: Eukaryota; Viridiplantae; Streptophyta; Magnoliopsida; Sapindales; Rutaceae
Description: long non-coding RNA (CSIN_LNC005611)
Source: RNAcentral